RNAcentral lists this ribosomal RNA (462 nucleotides) under uncultured bacterium. Its description in RNAcentral is "bacterial SSU rRNA". It matches the Rfam family "Bacterial small subunit ribosomal RNA", at positions 40 to 518 of the family's 1533-position model. The record is from RNAcentral.
CGGCGCGACCUAACACAUGACAAGUCGAACGGCGAAGUCCGUCGGGGGCGGAACAGUGGCGGACGGGUGAGUAACGCGUGAGUAACCUGCCCUUACGAGCGGAAUAGCGUCGGGAAACUGACGGUAAUACCGCAUGAAGCUUAACCCCGGCAUCGGGGAGAAGCCAAAGGUUUAUCGCGUAAGGAUGGACUCGCGUCCCAUUAGAUAGUUGGCGGGGCAACGGCCCACCAAGUCAGCGAUGGGUAGCCGGAUUGAGAGGUUGAACGGCCACAUUGGAACUGAGAGACGGUCCAGACUCCUACGGGAGGCAGCAGUGGGGAAUAUUGGGCAAUGGGCGAAAGCCUGACCCAAGCGACGCCGCGUGAGCGAAGAAGGUCUUCGGAUUGUAAAGCUCUGUGUACAGGGACGAAGAAUGACGGUACCUGUAUAGAAAGCCACGGCUAACUACGUGCCAGCAGCCGC